Molecule: long non-coding RNA, 576 nt
Organism: Phragmites australis (common reed)
Lineage: Eukaryota; Viridiplantae; Streptophyta; Magnoliopsida; Poales; Poaceae
Exons: 2
Source: RefSeq, a predicted model, not a curated record
UCGCUCGCGGCGUUGGCGCUCGAUUUCCCUUCCCUUCGCUCCCCUCCCCUCGAACCCUAGCCCUAGCCCUAACCCUAACGAGAGCAACGAGGAGCAGGAAUCGGCGCUGCGCGGCGCCACCGGCCGGGAGCUGUACCCACGCGCGAACCCUAACCCCGACCGGAUGCCGUGGUGAAGGAGGCGCGGCGCCACCAGCAGAUUUGGGUGUGGAGCGAUAACAAAGACGACGAGGAGGAGAGGGUGCGCCGCCGCCUCUUCCGCUUCCACGUGAAGCAUCCUGCAGUUGUGGUCUCGUCGAGGUCCGCAGAACUGGCGUGGGGAUGACUAAUCUUCUUAGAUCCUCGUGCGAUUAUGAGCAUAGGCUGUAUUGGAUGUGAUGUAAACACUUGUAAUGGAGGACGUUGCCCUGGACUGCUGUCUGACGGUUCGAGCGAAGAUAGCAUAGCGAUGAACGGCCCAGCGUUAUGCUGGAUGGGAUGAUUCUGGAUUAGGCACCGUCGUUAGUACACAAAACCCUCUGUUAGACUAGCGAAACAAGUUUCAGUAAGUUUCAAUGGCAACGUUAGUCGGCCGUCA